Molecule: long non-coding RNA, 630 nt
Organism: Carica papaya (papaya)
Lineage: Eukaryota; Viridiplantae; Streptophyta; Magnoliopsida; Brassicales; Caricaceae
Source: RefSeq, a predicted model, not a curated record
CCUCUUCUUCACCUGCAACACAGAGAGGAUAGGGUUAGGUUAGCACAAAAAAGGGGAAGACUGCUGCCGCUGUGAAAAUAGUGAAGUGCAGGGAGUAUUUUGAUUCUUAACGAUAAAGAGAAGGAGGGAAAUCGAUAGUUGUGAGCGGAGGAGGCGCACGGUAUCAUAGGAGUGUUGUAGAUUUAUGGGGAAGAAGAGAAUGGUCGUGUGAGGAGAGAGAUAAAGAGAGAGAGAGAGAGGUCAUUGGGUAGUGAGAGAGAAGAAUGGUCGCAAUCUAAGAAAAUAAGAAGAAAAAAAGAGAAAAAAAAGAAGAAGAGCUUAACGGCGUGACGAAUGGGAAAAGUGAGGGAAGGUGACCCGAACGGAUGACUACUGUGUGAGGGCAGUUAGUCCAGUGGUGAAGGAGCUGCAAAUGAGGCAAACCAAAACCGCACUUCUUCAGGUUAAGAAAGGUUUAAAUCAAGUUCAAGACCGAAUAGGAGACUUUGAAGAAAUCUCAUAGUUUAGUCAUUUUGGAUUGUAAAAAUAGAAUAGAAACAAAAUAAUGAUUGUUAAGAGAUUGUAUAGAACUUUAUGUAUUGUAAUUUUUUACGAGGGAUGAAAUGGUUUUGAAUUUUUAUCAGGUUGCUA